RNAcentral lists this ribosomal RNA (158 nucleotides) under Leucoagaricus subcretaceus. Its description in RNAcentral is "5.8S ribosomal RNA". It matches the Rfam family "5.8S ribosomal RNA". Rfam says of the family: 5.8S ribosomal RNA (5.8S rRNA) is a component of the large subunit of the eukaryotic ribosome. Lineage: Eukaryota; Fungi; Basidiomycota; Agaricomycetes; Agaricales; Agaricaceae. The record is from RNAcentral.
AGCAACGGAUCUCUUGGCUCUCGCAUCGAUGAAGAACGCAGCGAAAUGCGAUAAGUAAUGUGAAUUGCAGAAUUCAGUGAAUCAUCGAAUCUUUGAACGCACCUUGCGCUCCUUGGUAUUCCGAGGAGCAUGCCUGUUUGAGUGUCAGUAAAUUCUCA